UGUUCAGUUAGGAUAGUCCUUACCUGUUUCUCCUUCAGGAAGGCAGAUUAGAACAAAGUGGCUGCAGUUCUCAUGAUUCAUGAUUAGUGUCUCUGAGUAAAAAGGAAAAACAAAACAAAAAAAUAGUGGACACAGUGACAAAGUGAAGCCUGAG
Molecule: small nucleolar RNA, 154 nt
Organism: Talpa occidentalis (Iberian mole)
Lineage: Eukaryota; Metazoa; Chordata; Mammalia; Eulipotyphla; Talpidae
Product: U8 small nucleolar RNA
Exons: 1
Source: RefSeq, a predicted model, not a curated record